GUGGGGAAUCUUAGACAAUGGGCGCAAGCCUGAUCUAGCCAUGCCGCGUGAGUGAUGAAGGCCCUAGGGUUGUAAAGCUCUUUCAGCUGGGAAGAUAAUGACGGUACCAGCAGAAGAAGCCCCGGCUAACUCCGUGCCAGCAGCCGCGGUAAUACGGAGGGGGCUAGCGUUGUUCGGAAUUACUGGGCGUAAAGCGCGCGUAGGCGGACUGAAAAGUUGGGGGUGAAAUCCCGGGGCUCAACCUCGGAACUGCCUUCAAAACUAUCAGUCUGGAGUUCGAGAGAGGUGAGUGGAAUUCCGAGUGUAGAGGUGAAAUUCGUAGAUAUUCGGAGGAACACCAGUGGCGAAGGCGGCUCACUGGCUCGAUACUGACGCUGAGGUGCGAAAGCGUGGGGAGCAAACAGGAUUAGAAACCCUGGUAGUCC
This 425-nucleotide ribosomal RNA is filed under the name uncultured bacterium. RNAcentral's name for it is "bacterial SSU rRNA". It matches the Rfam family "Bacterial small subunit ribosomal RNA", at positions 354 to 796 of the family's 1533-position model. The record is from RNAcentral.